Molecule: ribosomal RNA, 21 nt
Filed under: Cliffortia montana
Lineage: Eukaryota; Viridiplantae; Streptophyta; Magnoliopsida; Rosales; Rosaceae
Source: RNAcentral
GGAAGGCCUCGUGUUGCAACC